This 1156-nucleotide long non-coding RNA is filed under the name Vulpes vulpes (red fox). RNAcentral describes it as "lncRNA (ENSVVUG00000011151.1)". Lineage: Eukaryota; Metazoa; Chordata; Mammalia; Carnivora; Canidae. The record is from RNAcentral.
GUUCAUCUUAAUUAAAGCUCCAAAAAGGGAGUGGCCUUGAACAGAACCAGUGGAAGCACAGUUGACAUAAGCACCUCCCUGAAGAGCAUCACUAUUACAACUCUGCAAUCCAGAUGAAUAAAUAUAAUUUAUUUCCCAUAGAUAGUGGAAAACUUGGGCUAUCUAACUAUCAAUUAGAUAAAUACCUCUUUGGCCCCUGAAGAAAAUAUCUUAGGUAUCUUCAUGUCUCAUAGGCCCAUGAUCACCAGUCUUCAGGAAUUAAGCCUCACCAAAGCCACCUAGUAUAUGUUAGCAUGUUGGAAGUCUUUUUUUUUUUUUUUGCAUGUUGGAAGUCUGUGUCCAUUUAAACCUUUUAAGGAAUAGCUACUGAUUUGCUGAAAGCAAGAUAAAAUGGAAAUGUUGCAGGAGCAAGAGGUGGUAUCUACAGAGACAAUACUUGAUAUAAGAGAAAGAAACAGAGGGAAAUAUAAUGUGUCUUGACAAAGACAAAUUUCUACUUGGCAUAAUUUUCUAUAUGAUUUCUCCUAAUGGAGAAUUAAGGGUAAGUGGAGGCCAGAAGUCUAACUAUAAUCUUUCUUACAAACAAAAACCCAGAGUCGAUAUAUAGCUCAUAGAAAGUAGGAGAGUGGUUUAGGUGAUUUGUCUACCUACAUUAAUUUGUCCUCAGGUCAUCUAAAUUGUGGAGAUAUGAGUAGUCACCAUUGACCAAAUUAGCACUAGACUUCUGUGUAACCCAGAUAAACAUAGGUUAAAGAUCCCUGUCUCUCAAUCAUUGAAAAAAAAAAACAAAAGACACACUUUGCAGCAGUUGUGAGCCUUUCCCCACCCCCACCCCGGCGCCCAUGGCUGCGGCCUCUCGGGGCCGGACCUCGCCGGCUGCCCACUCUCCUGGCCCAGCUCUGCGGAGCCUACGCGAAGCCCCCGCCCAGCCAGCCGGGCCGCGGAGCCUUUGGACGUCGGGUGUGGUGGGGUGAGAAGAAUGGCGGCCGCUCAGAUGCCGGGCCGGCCCUUGGGGCCUCCGAGGGCCUGAGAAGGCGGGUCUCCGUGGACGUAAGCUCGGCCGCCCUCGGGCUUUGGCGCCCCAUGACUACUCCGUCCCAGGUGGACGAAACCUCACCUACGGCGAACAGUGGACAGAGGCCCUAACGGCCGGAAG